Mus musculus (house mouse) is the source of this 6375-nucleotide RNA transcript. It is a transcript of the gene named cadherin-like and PC-esterase domain containing 1, with no coding region annotated. The transcript has 23 exons. Lineage: Eukaryota; Metazoa; Chordata; Mammalia; Rodentia; Muridae. The record is from RefSeq and is marked validated.
CCAGAAAAAGCCUUAGUUUAGCUCCGCCCCGCUCGGCCUGGGUGGCAGCGAUGGCCCAGGUCCUCCGGCUCUCGGCCCUGUGUGCAGCUGGCACGCGCGUGUCUCCGCGAGUCUGCGCGUGUCUGUCCGUGCGUGAGAGUGAGAUGAAGCGGAGUCCUACGCCUGGGUGUUUCCUUCCAAGUGAUUUUGAUCAGCAAUCCAUUAGGGGAUCAUGAAAAAAAAAAAAUCUGGCUAAAAGGAUGAAAACUGAGUAAGUACACAGAACUUUGAACUUGAAACGGAAUGAGACCAAACGCAAGCAAAGCCCUGACAGUAACCACAUACAGCCAAACUGCUAUCCCCCUUUUUUAUGUUAAAAGCCGUGAAUGCUAGCAGCAAAGUGGCAAUUUAAAACUGAACGAAAGGAAGCAGCAGUUCUACAACAUAAAAGGCUGGGAGCGGGAUGGCUUUAAAACCGGAGGGAAAAUGAGAAACUGCUAGGACAACCUGGCCGGCGCCCAGCUGUGCAACAGGCACUUCGCGUUAAAUCGACUGCGUCUUCGGCUGGUUUCUGCCUCCAGACCCGCUUUACGGUGCUUUCUUUUUGCCCCAAAAGAGGAGACAAGCUGAACUCCUGACUUUAAGAAUGUUGUGGAAGUAAGGCAUUACCGGAAGGAACUCUUGGUAGCUGGGGAUGCAUUCGGAUGAUUUCUUAUAACUAUCUUUAUUUUGACAUCUUAAAAAAAAAUCUGGCCAGUCACUUCUUACUGUCCUUCAUUUAAGGGCUAUUAACCACCUCUGACCGCUGGGUCCUAUGAAUCUUUGGCAUGAACCUUCGGAAAGUUUUCAAGCGGAGAUGGGGCGAACUUGAUUGGAAUUGUGUAAAAAGAAGACAGAUGUGUGUUUUUUUCACACUGACAACGUGGCCAGGGGCCAAGUGAUCCUGGACUGGUCAUGGUCUGUCGACCCGGGUUCCUUUGUCGCCGGCGAUUUUGCCCCCGACCUUUCCUGGUGGGUUUGGUGGUGGCGAUCUGUCUCUUUUACCAGACCCUGACACUCCGAGGGACUAAGAAGAUUGCAGCGGACGUCUCUGGCACUGUCCCACACACACCCUCUCAAACUCAGGCUAGCAGAUGUGAAGAAGGAUACCGGCAGGACAAACAAUGCUUCCUUCUCUCUGCGAGUACCCAGGAAACCAGGAAGAUUGAAGAAUCGAUUGAGAGACACUUCGGCAGUCUCAGCAGAAGGGCCGUCCUCCACAGGCCUCCUUCCUCCAGCAGAGCACAGCUUCAGAUACACCAGCACCUUCUUGCUCAGCAUGGAUACAGCGUUGUCACUGUGGAAGAAAGGCUUGGUGGUGGUCUAGGUCCGGAGCUGCUGGACCAAGGUGGUUUGAACUCCUGGGAUCUGUUCAUUUGCCUGCCUUCUAGGGAAGCUGAUGGGAAACCCUGCAUACCCAGGGAGCACAUGUGUCGACUAAGCCUACAUCAAAGGGUAAAUGUGUUACCAGAAAUACAGCCUCAGCUUUGCAGGAGAGAAGGCUUGUGUGAAAUAACCAGAAGAUUUCCAGAAUUUCGACUUCCAGUGAGUUCCUCUGUGUGCCUGGAUCAGGAGACACAGUCACGGCUGAGGGUUUCCAGUCAUCUCUCAAAAGCAGAGAAGCCACAUGUAUGGAAACCUCGGGACUGGCACCGCAAACAGUUGAAUCUGACUACAGUCGUUGCCCCGCACGAAGCAAUCUCCAGAGCAGAAGAGCUAUCUGUGAUUCUUAAGGCAUAUGUGUUGGUGACCUCCUUAAGGCCUUUGCGGGCCUUCAUUCAUUCAACUGGCACGGUAUGGAGCCCACCAAAGAAGAAACGCUUCACUGUCAAGCUGCAGAUGUUUUUUGAGACAUUCCUGAGGACCAGUUCGCCUCUGCAAGCACUGGACAGCAUGAAGGAAGCCAUUAGCAAGCUCCUGUUGGUAGCUGAGGUGUUUAGUGACGCAUCUACUCUGGGACCAAAGACCUUCAAUAGAUGUAUACAGUGUUUUCAGCUUUUAACCUUUGAUGUUGGUUAUGGAGAUUCAGGAUAUCCUGUGGUGCUCCAGGUACAUGAACAUUUACAUUUUCACGAUGAUGAGAAUUUCAGCGCGGAGGACCAAAAUGCGGAAAAUAUUAUUUUAAGGGAUACUUUCGACUUCCUCUUCUCCAAUGCGUCUUCACUGUCCAUGGUUUCUGAGAUGUUGCAGAGGCGUGACUCAGCAGGUGCAUUCGUGGACGGAAACUAUGAAAAGGAAUUAAAUCAGUGCCUGUCAUUCGAGGAAAUUCACUCAAUUAGGACUUUUGUAAAGGAACUUGGGAGUUUGGGACAAUUCCAACUGCUCUUCCCGUCCAGUGUUCCUGGGAUUCGGUCUCUGAUGGGUGAAUUUUAUGAUAUGGCAACUCCUGGCUCAGUCCUGUCGCAGUACUGGUCCCUUUUAAAUGUAUUUGAACAAUUUUGGCUCAUGAAUAAAAAGGCACAGCUACAGCCACUGGAAUGGAAUUCUCCGACAAGAAAUGAGACCAUUGAGGAACCACCCAGGUCACUGGAAGGAAUCCAAAGUGGAAAAGAUGCAGCUCCACGAGUUUUGUUCGAAAAUAAAGAUAUACAUUGCAGUGAUGAGGAAGAUGUGCUCUGCCAUAUCAAGAAGAUCAUCACCCACCCCCGUUUAGAACUCAGUCCCGAGUUUAAUCCGAAGAUCAAAGAGUAUUACUGUGAAGUGCCAUUCGAUGUGCUAACUGUGAGGAUCGGAGCAGAGACCUCAAAGUGUCAGUGCAAGGCGCACCUGCAGGAGCAGGCAGGGCCAAGUUUUGCCACCUAUCCUCUGGGAAUAGGAAUGAACAGAAUCUCUGUGCUUGUGGUGGACGAGUCUCACGCAGGGGGUGCCGCCCUAACCACGUAUAAACUCACCAUCUAUAGAGAAGAUCGCCCGAGUCUGCCCUUCUUCGAGGACUUCACAGCGUGCGGCUUUGUACAAGAUUGUGACUUAUUGAUUCACCCAGAAGAAACCUGUGGGUUGCAGCCUAUUUCUGCAGAAUACAUUAAAGCCAUUUCACAGCCUGAAAUAGAGAGUUGUCCAUCUGGGGACACUAAAGGCCAGUGGAUUGUGCCCUGCCUUACUUGUUCAGACAACAGGACCUGUGACUGGAGAGAAAUAACCUGGCAACCACACAACUGCCAACACAACAUUCUAACCAAGCCAGAACUUCAACAGUGCCUACAAGGAAGAAAGAUUCUUUUCAUAGGAGAUUCCACCAACAGAGGGAUGAUGUACUAUCUAAUCGAGAGACUGAAUGAAACACUUCAGGAGUGGCAGAAACUGCAUGGCACUAAACUCUACCCCAGUGUCAAUGGUGGGAAGAGUCCGAUCAGUUACUCCUACUAUCCCCAGUUCUGGAUAAGGCCUUCAUUGAGACCAGCAUUUGAGAAAGCACUUGAACAUCUCUUGCAAAGAUCACAGCCCCUAGAGAAUACUGACCAGACGGUAUUGGUUGUUGGUGGUGUCCAGUGGCUUAAUUCCAAUCACCUGCAAAUUAUUCACAAGGUUUUAAAGAGGGAAAAUUUGCUGAAUAUUCUAGUGAUCAUCAAAACAUUGGGGAUUGGAUUUCACCUGCCGGUGGACGGGGUGCACUUCCUAACCCAGGGUGAAGUACGGAACUUAUAUAAAGAAAAUCUGAGCAUUCUGGAAACUGCCAAAAAGUAUGGCUAUGAAGUAGUAGACACAUUCACUAUCACAAUGGGACGGCACAAAGAAUUUCUGCAGGGCAAUUGUGGAUGCCAUUUUCAUGAGAAACAUUACAUGAAGAGGAGACUAUGUGACCACCAGCUUCAUGAAAUGAGGCAUUAAAAGUCAUUGCUCAGACAUGAAAGACUCGGGAUGGUGCAUGGUUGAAGGCAGGAAGGUGUGGGAGUCUGAAGAGGGCUGCCUUCUUCAAAAGACUUCACACCUACCUCCUUUGCACCUGAAAUCCCAGUGAGUUUAUUAAGAUUUCCCCCCAGAACUUGCCAACUUUAGAUGCCCCAGUACAGGGGAAUGCCAGGGCCAAAAAGGGGGAGUGGGUGGGUAGGGGAUUGGGGGGAUGGGUAUGGGGGACCUUUGGGAUAGCAUUGAAAAUGUAAACGAGGAAAAUACCUAAUUAAAAAAAAAAAGAUUUCCCCCAGAAACAUUGGGGAAAGGUUACUUACAGGAGCGUGUGACUCAAAGAUAGCUACAUCACAAAAAACCUACCCAACAUGGGUGAUAUACAUCAUAGAAACUGCAAUUCCAGAGUACUCAGCUCAACCUGGCGGCAGCUCUACCAAGGUCUUCUACAACAGUGUCACUGUUUAAUGGAGAUAGUGUUUGAGAAUCCUGUAGCCAUCUGGGCUUCUUGAGUCUUGUAAGUUUCUUAGCUGCUUCAGUUGUUCCAAUCUCCUACCGCCCUUGAGGAGGGAAUGCUUCAGUUCAGAAGAAACAGCCACACCACACUUGGAAUCUGAGCUCUCUUAUUAACACUUGUAUGACUGCAGGUCCCAGGAGACUUUGCUGGCACUCAGAGGAAGGGGACCCCAAUUUACCUUCCCAUCAGAUCUUGAAUCACUCCAUUUGUUCUUUCUUGAUCGGUUCCUUUUACAGUCCAGAAUAUACUUGGUUGACUAGUCAUAUGGCAGUUUAUUUCUGAUCCUGUUUUAUUUAUCUGACAUCACUCCACCUUGAUCCCCAGAUCCUCACAGUACUCAAAAGCCAUUAAGACAGUGUCUGAUCUUUGUGCUUUGCUAAUAGAUGCACAUCAUCUUCUUAAGUGACCAGUGACACUAAAUCUCAGAGAAGUAAGAGCCAGAAACCAUGGUGGGGAACAUCUAAGUUUUCAACUAUCAGCCUGAAACUUGGCCAUAUUGUUUCAGAACAGAUUUUAAGUUAUAGGACACUGUGUAUCUAGUAAUUAUUUCCACAAGAAAAUAUACCACCCAUAGAAUAUGUGUCCUAUUUAUAAAAACUACGUGCUUAGAAAUACAAGCCUGAGUAUUUUGGAAGAGAAAAAACAAAACAAAACAAAACAAAACAAAACACAAUGAACCAUCCCAGGAUCAUGGUGUAUCACAAAAGCAAGCCAAUCAUCACCAAACUAAAUGAAAAUGAGCACUUUGAAAAACAGCAUACAUUUUCAAACCUCUUUUAGAAAAUGUUUACUUAUUUAUGUUUAUAUGAUGUGUCUUCAGUUCAUACACUGAAGAAGGGUCUGUGCUUUUCUUUUUCUGCCUCAGAGCACUGAAAGACUAACAAAGGAUUGUCCUCCAAAGACAGAGAACACAGCUCCAGUUAUAAACGGAAGAUGUCCUUCCCACGUUUAUAUUACAUCUCUCUCCUGUCGUUUACACUAAUAGUCCUGGAAUAUAAAAACCACACACACAAAAAAAAAUUCUUUGAGCUGCCCAUAGUAGAAUACUGAUUUAUAAUUACUUCUAGCAGAAACUCUUUAAUUCACAAAAGAAAGAUUAAAGCAUAAUAAGGAAAAUAUUUCACUUAUGAGGUUAUAGCAUUGUCCUACAACCAUCAAACACACAUGGUGUUUUGUUGACGGUAUUCCUAAGGUUUUGAUGGCAAGCCAUGCGCGUCUCCCACAGAUGAUGUCAGCUGAUUCCCGAGUGCUGCGGACCGUGCUCAGGCUCUGGGGAUUGUGAUCAAAUCAGCUUCCAGGGGCACUUGCCUUUGUGGCUAUAACACGGGGUUGAUGUGAUCAUCUUUCUCAAACUCAGCCACUGUUCAUGAACACGAUCUUUCUUUAUGUGCAUUUUGAAGUCCUGGUAUCUCGGUGUCAUAAUGACACUGACAUCUUAGUGUCACAUAUUGAAACUGUAAAUAUUCUGUUGAUUAUCAUCUUUUCCUUUAUGUUUAUGUCUUAUGAGACUAGCAAAAAAAGAAGAAGAAUAAAGAAGAAGAAGAAGAAGAAGAAGAAGAAGAAGAAGAAGAAGAAGAAGAAGAAGAAGAAGUUGACCUGAAAAUAAAAGAAAAAAAAAUACAAGAAAUGACAAGAAUUUUGGUGCACGAGUUUUAUCCUCUUAAACUUAACUAAACAAUCCUCCUGUACAGGGAAGGAUACCUUUGAGAAGCUCGUAUACACAUUGUAGCGAGAUAUUAACAUCUGGUUGCUGGGUGGCCAGAGUUCUACUGCAGAUAUAACAAACCUGGUUCUGUGAAUUCUGCCUGUCACAGGUGAAAGUGAAGGUCCCGGAAAGCCUCGUUUGUCCGCCAAGGCACCAAAAGAGAAUAGUCUGUCACCAUUGAACCUACAAGCUGUUUCCAAAUGGUAGUGAAAUCAAAGUUAUCCAGACAGCACCACGUUAUCAAGAUGAAAAGAUCCAAGAACCAUAUUGUGGGGAAGUACUUCAGUAGUCA